AGGUCUAACUGGUGUCAAGGGAGAAAAAGGAAAUCCAGGCACUGGAACCCAAGGCCCAAGAGGCCCCCCAGGGCCAGCAGGACCUUCAGGGGAGAGUCGGCCAGGAAGCCCUGGGCCUCCGGGAUCCCCCGGACCAAGGGGUCCACCAGGUCACCUGGGGGUCCCUGGACCACAAGGUCCUUCUGGCCAGCCUGGAUAUUGCGACCCCUCUUCGUGUUCUGCCUACGGCGUUGGAGAUGUGAUCCCUUACAAUGAUUACCAGCACUGAAGUGGAGCCCCUCCACUCUGCUUAUAUUGGCCUGGGCAAUUGGCUGCAGAUACAGAACUGUCCUGUUACCACCCCUCCCCCAGCCCCUGCCCCUAACAACGGGCACUCUGCUUCCCUGCCUCACUUGCUUCCCCACCUACCCACUGCCACAUCUCUCACCCUCCUUGCUCCAGAUACAUGCAAGGAUAAUACCAGGACUUAACCAAAUCACACAUGUCAGUUGUAGUACAAACUGACUGCUCCAUGUCAGUCUGGAUAUAGGUAUAUGAUGAUGUGCCAAUAAUUCAUCCCAAUCUUCCCUAUGUGAAGGCACAGUAAUCAUUCCUCUUUCCUGUCGCCACACAAGAUUGAUGGCAUCUUUCUCCCUGAUCACCCUACUCUCUAUUCUUCCUCUGAUCCCUUCACUUCCCUACUAUUGCUGGUGAUGGACUAAUAACAUGAGAUCAGUUUUAAACAUUUAUUUUUCUUUAAUAAUGUUGCUGAGUUUUCAGGGUUCCUUUUGUAAAUAAAACACAUAAUAUAUAAGCAAUUGGCUGUGAUUCUAGUUUUCUAACAAUUUCUGCAAUGUAUCUGUCCCUUCCUUCUUUUACUAACCCCUGAAACCUCACGGGGAAGGUGCAAGCCGCAUGGUGGGUAAAGGUUGCUAACUGCUUUUUACCCAAGCAGGAUAUCUCUGUAGUUUAAUGACCAAAUCUAAGUCUCUAUGGACCCAUAUGAAGGAAGAAUAUCAACCUAUGGUUCCUGGGUCCCAUCAAGUCCCCACCCCACUCUUCCUCUCUAGCUCCCCAUCCUGAUCAGCCAGAAUUCACCCCUGUGCAAGACGAGCUAGAAGCCAUGGAGCUGUGGGGCUCUGGGAUCUAAUAGCCUCAGAAGACAUUUGGAGACCACCUAUAAGAACUCUUAGGGAGGCUCAGUCAAGAAGAAUGUCACUAUGUGGUUUGUAUGCUACCUUUUGGGGGCUUGUUUCAUCAGCCUAAAUCUUUUGCUUGGAUAUUGUUAUUAUUGUUAUUAUUAACAAGAAAUUAUAUUUUUUAAAAAAGCCCCUUAAUCUGUGCCACCAUAGGAUUGAUUUCUCAUUGUCAUUUUAAUGGCCCACCAGAUUAUUUGUUUUUCCAGAGAAGAGUGAUCAAAGGAAAACUGGCAAAAAAAUCUGACCUAUGUAAUCUUUUCUGUUAGAUGAUCUCAAGUCCUGAAAGGAAACAAGACAGAUAUGAUUGUAUUCAAGGGAAAUGGGAUCCUAGCAGAAGAGGAAUUCAGAGAUUCAAAGAUUAUGCAAUGUAUCCCUUUUCCUUAUAGCCUUGCUGAAAAGAAAAAGGGAUAUUAAUGGAGAAACUACCUCUUGCUUAAUUAAUCUGUUCAACUCUGAGAUCACUUGGUAACUGGUUUCACUGGUAUCAAAGAAUAUGUGUUAGAAUAUAACCUUUCUUAGGUUGGUGAUUUUAGAAAUAGACUUACUUUUUCAGUUGUUUUUCAUUAUAAAAGAACAACUUUCCACCAGUUCUCAUGCAAAGAGAUCCAAUUUUGAUGAAUGAUUUAUCCAGAAGUCCAAGUAUUCCAAGGCUUGCCCUCCUUAUCUACAUGGAUUACUUUGUACAUGCAGAUAAGUUUUUGCAAACCUGUUUUCAUUCUCUCUUGUGAGCAAAUAAAAUUUUAAAACAAUG
Molecule: non-coding RNA, 1929 nt
Organism: Manis javanica (Malayan pangolin)
Lineage: Eukaryota; Metazoa; Chordata; Mammalia; Pholidota; Manidae
Source: RefSeq, a predicted model, not a curated record